This 1052-nucleotide ribosomal RNA is filed under the name Vibrio alginolyticus. RNAcentral describes it as "bacterial SSU rRNA". It matches the Rfam family "Bacterial small subunit ribosomal RNA", at positions 482 to 1533 of the family's 1533-position model. The record is from RNAcentral. RNAcentral also lists the same sequence under 1 other name. Lineage: Bacteria; Pseudomonadati; Pseudomonadota; Gammaproteobacteria; Vibrionales; Vibrionaceae.
CAGAAGAAGCACCGGCUAACUCCGUGCCAGCAGCCGCGGUAAUACGGAGGGUGCGAGCGUUAAUCGGAAUUACUGGGCGUAAAGCGCAUGCAGGUGGUUUGUUAAGUCAGAUGUGAAAGCCCGGGGCUCAACCUCGGAAUUGCAUUUGAAACUGGCAGACUAGAGUACUGUAGAGGGGGGUAGAAUUUCAGGUGUAGCGGUGAAAUGCGUAGAGAUCUGAAGGAAUACCGGUGGCGAAGGCGGCCCCCUGGACAGAUACUGACACUCAGAUGCGAAAGCGUGGGGAGCAAACAGGAUUAGAUACCCUGGUAGUCCACGCCGUAAACGAUGUCUACUUGGAGGUUGUGGCCUUGAGCCGUGGCUUUCGGAGCUAACGCGUUAAGUAGACCGCCUGGGGAGUACGGUCGCAAGAUUAAAACUCAAAUGAAUUGACGGGGGCCCGCACAAGCGGUGGAGCAUGUGGUUUAAUUCGAUGCAACGCGAAGAACCUUACCUACUCUUGACAUCCAGAGAACUUUCCAGAGAUGGAUUGGUGCCUUCGGGAACUCUGAGACAGGUGCUGCAUGGCUGUCGUCAGCUCGUGUUGUGAAAUGUUGGGUUAAGUCCCGCAACGAGCGCAACCCUUAUCCUUGUUUGCCAGCGAGUAAUGUCGGGAACUCCAGGGAGACUGCCGGUGAUAAACCGGAGGAAGGUGGGGACGACGUCAAGUCAUCAUGGCCCUUACGAGUAGGGCUACACACGUGCUACAAUGGCGCAUACAGAGGGCGGCCAACUUGCGAAAGUGAGCGAAUCCCAAAAAGUGCGUCGUAGUCCGGAUUGGAGUCUGCAACUCGACUCCAUGAAGUCGGAAUCGCUAGUAAUCGUGGAUCAGAAUGCCACGGUGAAUACGUUCCCGGGCCUUGUACACACCGCCCGUCACACCAUGGGAGUGGGCUGCAAAAGAAGUAGGUAGUUUAACCUUCGGGGGGACGCUUACCACUUUGUGGUUCAUGACUGGGGUGAAGUCGUAACAAGGUAGCGCUAGGGGAACCUGGCGCUGGAUCACCUCCUUA